AUUGAACGCUGGCGGCAUGCCUUACACAUGCAAGUCGAACGGUAACAGGUCUUCGGAUGCUGACGAGUGGCGAACGGGUGAGUAAUACAUCGGAACGUGCCCAGACGUGGGGGAUAACGAGGCGAAAGCUUUGCUAAUACCGCAUACGAUCUAAGGAUGAAAGCAGGGGACCGCAAGGCCUUGCGCGUUUGGAGCGGCCGAUGGCAGAUUAGGUAGUUGGUGGGAUAAAAGCUUACCAGGCCGACGAUCUGUAGCUGGUCUGAGAGGACGACCAGCCACACUGGAACUGAGACACGGCCCAGACUCCUACGGGAGGCAGCAGUAGGGAAUUUUGGGCAAUGGGCGAAAGCCUGAUCCAGCAAUGCCGCGUGCAGGAUGAAGGCCUUCGGAUUGUAAACUGCUUUUAUACGGAACGAAAAGGCUCUGGCUAAUACCUGCGGCACAUGACGGUACCGUAUGAAUAAGCACCGGCUAACUACGUG
RNAcentral lists this ribosomal RNA (482 nucleotides) under uncultured bacterium. RNAcentral's name for it is "partial 16S ribosomal RNA". It matches the Rfam family "Bacterial small subunit ribosomal RNA", at positions 30 to 507 of the family's 1533-position model. The record is from RNAcentral.